This is a long non-coding RNA of Lineus longissimus, 3555 nucleotides long. RefSeq lists it as uncharacterized. NCBI's taxonomy places the organism in Eukaryota, Metazoa, Nemertea, Pilidiophora, Heteronemertea, Lineidae. The transcript has 3 exons. The record is from RefSeq and is a predicted model, not a curated record.
UUUUGGCUUACCUUUGGCUUUUGAAUCAUGCCGCGGCAGAAUAUCGAGGAGCAACUGCAGAAUACCCGGGACACUCUGUGCUAAAUGAUAGGAAUGUGUACAUAAUGUACAGAGGGACAGAGUGUACAUAAUGUACAGAGCUACUACUGUCCCGGCUUUUCUGCAGUUAGGCCUAUUUCUAGUCCUGUAAAUAAUCAUAGCAGUUACUACAAUUUUUUGGUUUGUUUGAAAUUACAUGUACAUGCAGUUGCCGCAUUAUUUGUGUGUUUACUGUCACUGUGUCUUCAUAACGCAUAUGUCUCUGUUUUCUUCAGAAAACUAGAGCGCUUUUGGACCUCUGAUUAGCUGUGCUGUAACGAUAGCAACGUGGGAUUGUGGUUAUGUUGUAAAUUUUAUUGUUUUGAUAUUUUGAUAGUAAUGUACAUUUGUAUUUGUGUUUCGUGCCUUAUAUGCAAAGAUUGUGUUUUGGCCAAUAAAUUUCAUUUCAUUUCAUUGCACCUGGGUGCCUGCACCCCAUGCCACAUCCUGACGGAACCAUGUGGUUUAAAAAUAUACUCCUUGAUAUUUGUCAACUAGGUAGGUGUAUAGCAAAAACCUAAGAUCAGGAUGAAAGGUAUAACCCCAUUCACUUUCUGCCAACUCUUGCUAUUCACAUUCCAAUACUGUAUUUACAUGGCUAUGCUCAAAAUUACAGAAAGUUUAUUGUGUACAUGAAUGUUUAUGAAUAUAUUUAGUGCCAAAUCAAACAUGUCCCAGUGCCCUUACUCUACAUAUUAGGCACCUUAAUUGACCCACUCACGCCUUCUUUUAAGGUCUGCUCGGGUUAUGACUCGUACACACUCAUACUCCCUUAUUAUCUUUUCAACUGUUUCAUUGUUGAUAUCGUCAGGAAUAUAUCCUUUAUCCUUCAGCACUAUCACUGCACCAACCAUCACUUUACUCACCUUCCCUCCCGUGCACUAAAACUGCAUUCACCAUGCAUCAACCCCAGCCCACCCCCAUCCUGGCACAUUAAAGAAUAUAAUCCUGAUUGUAUCGUAUGAUGAAAGAGUUGUUUAUCAAAAACAAAGUUCGAGUGCAGAGCCAGAUUUCCCCUCUCCUCUAAUGUUUCAUCCCAAUGAUGACAAUCAACCCUAACCAAGGACAGAAGGGAGAACAGCAAGGUAGUAUUCUCGAUCCUGCUUCAAGGUAAGGUAAUGUAAGGUUAGAUGUUAGUUUGUAAAGAGAAUGAGAUGUGAUUGUAUGCUUGUAUCUUUCAAGGCAGCUUCUUCAAUUGAAGGAUGGAUGACCAGCAUUGCCAGGCAAGAAGGAAAAAAGAGAAGGAUCACAUCUGAAUUACUGAGAUCCCCAUUCCAUAGGACUUCAAAGGAGAACCCAUCAAAGAUCGUCUCGAAAGACUUGCCUUGAUGAGGAUACGCUGCAAAACCACUGACGAGGAAAAUCACUUCAUCACCAUCAUUGUGGAAGUUUUAUAGCCCUUUUGGGUCUUCAAUUUAUAAGCUACAACACAAGGAAUACUGUUUGGAACGAACCUGAUAAAACAACUAUCCAUGCACGUUGAUACAGAGCAGGACAAUCCCCUUGAUGCUCUUGUUUGAGGCAAGUGCCAAUUCGAGCGCUGACAUCACAGGGAAUCCCCUAUUGACUCGAGUGGUAGCAUAUGAAUUGUCCACAAAAUUUUCUUUUAUUUCAUGAAAAGUGUGAAAUUUGACAGAGUUUUUGAACAAUGGCGAGCGGGGAAAUCUUGGAUAUGAUGUCAUAACAUGCUAAUUAAUGAAAAUUUUCAAAACAUUCUAAGUUAUCCUGAAAUUACAUGUUAUAAGGUAUUACAAUCUACUAAUAAUUCAAUUUCAUGAAUUUGGUCCCUACCGGCCUUUUUGCGUGGCUGGUCACAUAUUUGUUUCAAAUUGCAACUUCCACGAUUUGUUCCAAAAUGUGAUUUACCUACAUGCUUGAAGAUCACCUGUAUGUAACUGCACAUAAUCUUGCACUGUGGCCCAGUGUGUUUUGCACCCUUGAAACUAAUGUAAUUUAGACCUUUCAAGCCUGAAUGCUCUUGGGAGCGCCUUCCUGUUCUCAGAUAGUCUGUGAAUCAAAUAAGCCACUAAAGUAUGUUGAUAACUUUAUCAUUUAAUACUGUGUCAUCUUCCUUUGUCCCACAUCUUUUAUCAUUUUUAAUUUUUUAAAAUUUUUGCAGAGAAUUUUUUUUGCAUUACAAUUUUUUCCUUUAGUGGUAAAUGUUGGUCAUUAUAGCUAGAUUAGAGGUGGGUUAGGCCUACAGGGUUUUGAUAGCAGUAGUACAACAUUAGUUUAUUUCAUGACUGGCAGUUAGUGCCGUCAUCCGUAGCCACUUGUAGUGUAGCUGUUAGCGAUAUGAUUGAGACUAGUGAGUGUAGUAGGUGUAGGCGCAACGUAGCUAAGGUUAGGCACUCACUGGUCUUUAUCUAAACUCCAGGAAGAUGACACACUCAGGGUAACUGUGGCCAAGCUGAAAUACAAUCUUAUCACUGGUUUUAAACUUGCUUGAACCCAGUUGUUUGCUUUAUUUGGGAAAAGUUUGUUAUCAGAUUUCAAAACUCAGAGGCUCAGUGAGCAUAAUGCACAGUUUAAUGGUAAUAGCAGCUCUAAAUCGGCACUGGGCUUGAAAGGUUUGAAACAUUCAAAUGUGAUAAAAAGGGUAAGCAAAGGCAAUUACUUUUUCUCACCCAUUUUUUCUCAAUCAAAUAUUGUUUAUAAAAUGUAAAAUGUAUGAUGUAAAUAAUGAAGUACAAAAUGUAUAAUUUUGAUGUUUCCCGCGGCACAGCAUGGAGCGGGAAAUAGUUGUCUCCGCGGGGCAGUUGCCUUGGAGGCGCGUGCGGCACGUGAUCAGUGCUGGUGGGCGGUGCAGUGGCGCCACUAGUUUUUUCGGAGCAGCCGUCGUAGUCACAACCAAGUUUCUUCAGUAAUAUGUUUAUAGCAUUUGGGCAAUUUGCAUUGUUUGUGGUUAUAGCCAUAGUACUAUAUUAGUGUAAGUAAGUGUUUGCUAUGGUUUAUGUUGCUCCGGACAAAUGUUCAAAUUUGUAUUUGGUUGUCUUUGCAGAGCAGCUGAGAGGUGUGGCAAUCGCCUAUGGACGUGCAUUUGUAUUGCUCCACCUCCCCCUCCCUUAAAAUAAGUAAAAAAUAAAACGGAAGUUAGGGUUGGGUGGCAGGCUGUUCAUCUUGGCUUGGCUGUUUGUCUGGAAGACGGCUUCUUUUUCAUUAGGUUAAGGGCUUUUUAGGCGGAAGGUGUGUUUUUCGGUUGCAUUUGUCCGGUUCAAUUUGGUUCUUGUACUAUGAUCCAUGUUUUCAGCCAAAGGUGCUGUAUAUCCUGUAACCUGUGGCUGCAGAGUACAUAGUAACGAUGCAGUAGUUAAUAAAGGCUGCGGCAUCCUGUUGUAUAUAUAUUGACGUUGUUGUUGUUGAUUGGCCUCCUUGGGGGAGCCAAGAGGAGACCAAGAAAGUACCUAAUUUAAGUUGGCGUUAUCUAUGUUAUUUAAAGGUUAAAAAUGGAUUACAGGCCCUUACUGAAAACUCAUC